This 403-nucleotide ribosomal RNA is filed under the name uncultured bacterium. RNAcentral describes it as "bacterial SSU rRNA". It matches the Rfam family "Bacterial small subunit ribosomal RNA", at positions 355 to 774 of the family's 1533-position model. The record is from RNAcentral.
UAGGGAAUAUUGCACAAUGGGCGAAAGCCUGAUGCAGCAACGCCGCGUGCGCGAAGAAGGUCUUCGGAUCGUAAAGCGCUUUUCUGGGAGAUGAGAAAGGACAGUAUCCCAGGAAUAAGUCUCGGCUAGCUACGUGCCAGCAGCCGCGGUAACACGUAGGAGGCGAGCGUUAUCCAGAUUCACUGGGCGUAAAGCGCGUGCAGGCGGUUCGGUAGGUUGGGCGUGAAAUCUCCUGGCUCAACUAGGAGAGGUCGUUCAAUACUACCGGACUUGAGAGUGGUAGAGGAAGAUGGAAUUCCCGGUGUAGUGGUGAAAUGCGUAGCUAUCGGGAGGAACACCAGUGGCGAAGGCGAUCUUCUGGACCAUUUCUGACGCUCAGACGCGACAGCUAGGGUAGCAAACG